GGCUGGAAUGCAGUAAUGUGAUUUUAGCUCACCACAUCUUCCACCUCCCGGGUUCAAACGAUUCUCCUGCCUCGGUUUCCUGAGUAGCUGGGAUUACAGGCAUGCG
Long non-coding RNA from Cebus imitator (Panamanian white-faced capuchin), 106 nucleotides. RefSeq lists it as uncharacterized. NCBI's taxonomy places the organism in Eukaryota, Metazoa, Chordata, Mammalia, Primates, Cebidae. The transcript has 3 exons. The record is from RefSeq and is a predicted model, not a curated record.